This 471-nucleotide ribosomal RNA is filed under the name uncultured bacterium. Its description in RNAcentral is "partial 16S ribosomal RNA". It matches the Rfam family "Bacterial small subunit ribosomal RNA", at positions 355 to 815 of the family's 1533-position model. The record is from RNAcentral.
UGGGGAAUAUUGCACAAUGGGCGCAAGCCUGAUGCAGCCAUGCCGCGUGUGUGAAGAAGGCCUUCGGGUUGUAAAGCAACUUUCAGCGAGGAGGAAGGUGGUGGACUUAAUACGUUCAUCAAUUGACGUUACUCGCAGAAGAAGCACCGGCUAACUCCGUGCCAGCAGCCGCGGUAAUACGGAGGGUGCAAGCGUUAAUCGGAAUUACUGGGCGUAAAGCACACGCAGGCGGUUUGUUAAGUCAGAUGUGAAAUCCCCCGGGCUCAACCUGGGAACUGCAUUUGAAACUGGCAAGCUAGAGUCUCGUAGAGGGGGGUAGAAUUCCAGGUGUAGCGGUGAAAUGCGUAGAGAUCUGGAGGAAUACCGGUGGCGAAGGCGGCCCCCCUGGACGAAGACUGACGCUCAGGUGCGAAAGCGUGGGGAGCAAACAGAUUAGAUACCCUGGUAGUCCACGCUGUAAAACGAUGUCGA